CAGUAACCAAAUCCAACCUACUCAGCAGAAGCUGUACCACCAGCCACAGGCAGUGCUUCUAUCAUCUGGUGCAUGGUGGAGCCACAGGGAUGCCCCACAGCUGGGGUGUCACCUCACAGCUUCCUCCCCGGGUGGAGGGAUUUAAGAUGAGUCAGUCCUUUGUGAAAUACUUGGCAUACCAACAGUAUCUUCCUUCUAAUCUCCUUCUUCUGUCACCUGCCAUUGGGCUCCAAAGUGCUAGCUGGAAUUGUGGCCUACCAGAUGAAUUAAAUAGUUGCUGGAAGAGGUCUG
RNAcentral lists this long non-coding RNA (291 nucleotides) under Phascolarctos cinereus (koala). RNAcentral describes it as "lncRNA (ENSPCIG00000032406.1)". Lineage: Eukaryota; Metazoa; Chordata; Mammalia; Diprotodontia; Phascolarctidae. The record is from RNAcentral.